AUACAGAGGGUGCGAGCGUUAAUCGGAAUUACUGGGCGUAAAGCGCGCGUAGGCGGCUUAUUAAGUCAGAUGUGAAAUCCCCGGGCUCAACCUGGGAACUGCAUCUGAUACUGGUAAGCUAGAGUUUUGGAGAGGGAAGUAGAAUUUCAGGUGUAGCGGUGAAAUGCAUAGAGAUCUGAAGGAAUACCAGUGGCGAAGGCGACUUCCUGGCCAAAAACUGACGCUGAGGUGCGAAAGCGUGGGUAGCAAACGGGAUUAGAUACCCUAGUAGUCC
This 274-nucleotide ribosomal RNA is filed under the name uncultured bacterium. Its description in RNAcentral is "partial 16S ribosomal RNA". It matches the Rfam family "Bacterial small subunit ribosomal RNA", at positions 523 to 796 of the family's 1533-position model. The record is from RNAcentral.